AGCGAACGCUGGCGGCAGGCCUAACACAUGCAAGUCGAACGAACUCUUCGGAUUUAGUGGCGGACGGGUGAGUAACACGUGGGAACGUGCCUUUUGGUUCGGAAUAACUCAGGGAAACUUGUGCUAAUACCGAAUGUGCCCUUCGGGGGAAAGAUUUAUCGCCAUUAGAUCGGCCCGCGUUUGAUUAGCUAGUUGGUGAGGUAACGGCUCACCAAGGCGACGAUCAGUAGCUGGUCUGAGAGGAUGACCAGCCACACUGGGACUGAGACACGGCCCAGACUCCUACGGGAGGCAGCAGUGGGGAAUCUUGCGCAAUGGGCGAAAGCCUGACGCAGCCAUGCCGCGUGAAUGAUGAAGGUCUUAGGAUUGUAAAAUUCUUUCACCGGGGACGAUAAUGACGGUACUGGGAGAAGAAGCCCCGGCUAACUUCGUG
This 433-nucleotide ribosomal RNA is filed under the name uncultured bacterium. RNAcentral describes it as "partial 16S ribosomal RNA". It matches the Rfam family "Bacterial small subunit ribosomal RNA", at positions 29 to 507 of the family's 1533-position model. The record is from RNAcentral.